CCUGGCAUCGUGACAUCUGUCAUAGUUUUGGCUGAUUUGCGUUGCAUCGUUUGUUUCAUCAUGGCGGCAACUCAGAAGGUUUGGCUGGCGUUGAGACAUGUUCUGUCACAGUUUUGGCUGAUUUGUGUCGCAUUGUUUGUUUCAUCACGGCAUCGGCAGAUUUCUAUAUUGUAGGUGGUCUGUUUGUCGGGCAGAUUUUGCUUCCUGGAUCUCUCGCAAAAAGCAGCCCUAUAUCUAUGGAGCGAACUUCUGGAUGUACUUUGUCCAUCAUGAUGCUCUCCAGCACAGUCCGGUCCUACCCUGAUUGCAUCCAUUGCACUUUGGUGUGGUGUUUGCCAUGCUCUCGGAUGCCGUCCAAUCACGCCCUUUUUGCAUCCAUCACACUUUGUCAUGGUGUUUAGUCUCACGUGGAGCAUGAUAUGGAUCGUGCCAGAUCUCACUUGUGUUGUAGUACAUGGAAAAAAAGUUUUGCCUUCUUGGGCGUUGUGACGCCUCGAGACCGUUGCGCCAGGUGUCUCCCAGUUGUUCGUUGUUGUUGCCUUGUCUUUUGCUUGCGUGUCGCAUCUUGUCAUGUCAUCAUCCGCAUUGCAUCAUCAUGUUUUUAAAACUUGAAUUCGUUCGGGUUCCCAGUUUCGUCCGUUGUCCGUUCUGAG
Molecule: long non-coding RNA, 653 nt
Filed under: Triticum aestivum (bread wheat)
Lineage: Eukaryota; Viridiplantae; Streptophyta; Magnoliopsida; Poales; Poaceae
Description: long non-coding RNA (TAES_LNC019542)
Source: RNAcentral